This 514-nucleotide ribosomal RNA is filed under the name uncultured Saccharomyces. RNAcentral describes it as "eukaryotic LSU rRNA". It matches the Rfam family "Eukaryotic large subunit ribosomal RNA", at positions 62 to 578 of the family's 3401-position model. Lineage: Eukaryota; Fungi; Ascomycota; Saccharomycetes; Saccharomycetales; Saccharomycetaceae. The record is from RNAcentral.
AAACCAACCGGGAUUGCCUUAGUAACGGCGAGUGAAGCGGCAAAAAGCUCAAAUUUGAAAUCUGGUACCUUCGGUGCCCGAGUUGUAAUUUGGAGAGGGCAACUUUGGGGCCGUUCCUUGUCUAUGUUCCUUGGAACAGGACGUCAUAGAGGGUGAGAAUCCCGUGUGGCGAGGAGUGCGGUUCUUUGUAAAGUGCCUUCGAAGAGUCGAGUUGUUUGGGAAUGCAGCUCUAAGUGGGUGGUAAAUUCCAUCUAAAGCUAAAUAUUGGCGAGAGACCGAUAGCGAACAAGUACAGUGAUGGAAAGAUGAAAAGAACUUUGAAAAGAGAGUGUAAAAGUACGUGAAAUUGUUGAAAGGGAAGGGCAUUUGAUCAGACAUGGUGUUUUGUGCCCUCUGCUCCUUGUGGGUAGGGGAAUCUCGCAUUUCACUGGGCCAGCAUCAGUUUUGGUGGCAGGAUAAAUCCAUAGGAAUGUAGCUUGUCUCGGUAAGUAUUAUAGCCUGUGGGAAUACUGCC